Myotis lucifugus (little brown bat) is the source of this 2958-nucleotide RNA transcript. It is a transcript of the gene named pyridine nucleotide-disulphide oxidoreductase domain 1, with no coding region annotated. The record is from RefSeq and is a predicted model, not a curated record. NCBI's taxonomy places the organism in Eukaryota, Metazoa, Chordata, Mammalia, Chiroptera, Vespertilionidae. The transcript is spliced from 12 exons.
GGAUCGAGCCGCAACCCCGGCAUGUCCCCUGACUGGGAAUGGAACCGGGACCUCUUGGUCCAUGGGAUGACUCUCAGUCCACUGAGCCAUCACAGCUGGGCUAAACUUUUAAUCUUUUAAUCUUAAGAUGUAUUUUCUAUUUAUUCACCAAGUCAACACCUGUGAUCCAGGCACUGUGCUAAGGGCUGAUUAGUCAAAUAUAAACAGCCUGGUGAAGAGGCAUGUACAUAAAUCAUUUCCUUGGUGUGUGUGCUGUCUUAGGGCUGCCAGUUGAGUUGGUAGGGAGUAAAUGAGGGAAGAGGUAUCCUUUCUCCACGGAGAUAUACUUUUUAGAACAAUGAGUAAAAAAGUUCACCACCUAAACGAGAAAAGACAGAUGUUCCAAAGGGAAGCGACAGUAAACCUCAGGUGAAGCCUAGCAUCCUCUGGGAGCAGCAAAACUUAAGGCCGGGGGUGCUUGGGGGAGGUGACCAGAGAUGAAGCCAGGGAAGGUUGGCAGGGGCCAGAUCAUAAAGGAUCUUAUAAGUCAUGCUCAAAAUUUACCAGGAACUUACAAAUAGGUGAUUUUGAGCAAUGGAGUAACGUGAUCAAAUGACAAAGUUUACAAUAAAUAGAAGUUGGUUUAACUGUUAAUUAGGAAGGUAAUUUCUCCUUACCCUCGGCAUGAUAACUUUAAAUUGGCAUAUAAAAUAGGUUAAGUAAAUAAGGAAUACCUCUUUAUGCCACUUUCCUUAUUCAGAUCUUUGUUAGUAUUUAGUAUAAAUGUAUUACUCAUUUUAAUCAGUACCACAGUAUUGAACACUAAUCACUACCCCAUAAAUAUGAACAAGACUCAGGAUAAUGGAAACUUUAGAUGAGGAACAAUGAUUAGUUUCCUAGGUUAAUAACUUUAUUAAAAUUGCACUAUCCCUUUCUCACCAUGCCAUCUAUAAUAAUAACUAAAAUUAUUUAUCAUAUUUUUCCUACUUUUUUUUAUAAGUUGGCAAUUCACUUUCCGUCAGAAGAGAUUCUUCUAGUAACAGCUUCUCCUGUUAUUAAAGCAGUUACAAAUUUCAAGCAGAUUUCUAAAGUAUUGGAAGAGUUUGAUGUUGAAGAACAACCAAGUACCAUGUUAGAAAACCGCUUUCCCAACAUUAAAGUUAUAGAAUGUGGAGUAAAGCAACUGAAGAGUGAAGAACAUUGCAUUUUAACAGAAGAUGGCAGUCAGCACGUAUAUAAGAAACUCUGUCUGUGUGCUGGAGCUAAACCAAAGUUGAUAUGUGAAGGAAAUCCUUAUGUAUUAGGAAUUCGUGAUACAGAUAGUGCUCAGGAAUUUCAGAAACAGCUUACGAAUGCUAAAAGAAUAAUGAUCAUAGGGAAUGGUGGUAUCGCACUUGAAUUAGCGUAUGAAGUCGAAGGUUGUGAAGUAAUUUGGGCCAUUAAAGAUAAGGCUAUUGGGAAUACUUUCUUCGAUGCAGGAGCAGCUGAAUUCUUGACCUCAAAGCUCAUUGCUGAAAAACCAGAGGCUAAAAUUGCACAUAAAAGAACCAGAUAUACAACUGAAGGAAAGAAAAAGGAAGCAGAAACCAAAAUUAAUGCUGGUAAUGUAGGCAGUGCCUUGGGACCUGAUUGGCAUGAAGGCUUAAAUCUUAAAGGAACAAGAGAGUUUUCUCAUAAGAUUCACAUUGAAACUAUGUGUGAAGUAAAGAAUAUCUAUCUUCAGAAGGAAUUUAGAAUCUCUAAGAAAAAGUCCUUGACAUUUCCAAGAGACCAUCAAAAUGAGUUAGUUACAACUGAUAAAGAGAUAUGGCCUGUGUAUGUGGAGCUGACCAACGAAAAGAUAUAUGGCUGUGAUUUCAUUGUCAGUGCUACAGGAGUUACACCAAAUAUAGAACCUUUUCUCUGUGGCAACAAUUUUGAUCUAGGAGAAGACGGUGGCCUGAGAGUGGAUGAUCAUAUGCACACAUCCCUUCCUGAUAUCUAUGCUGCAGGUGACAUCUGUACUGCUUCCUGGCAACCCAGCCCAUUCUGGCAGCAGAUGAGGCUGUGGACCCAGGCUAGACAGAUGGGAUGGUACGCAGCGAAGUGCAUGGCUGCAGCUAGUUUAGGAGAGUCUAUUGACAUGGAUUUCAGCUUCGAACUUUUUGCUCAUGUAACAAAGUUUUUUAACUAUAAGGUUGUAUUGCUGGGAAAAUACAAUGCACAGAGCUUGGGUUCAGAUCAUGAAUUAAUGCUGAGAUGUACCAAAGGACAAGAAUACAUCAAAGUCGUCAUGCAGAAUGGACGAAUGAUGGGAGCUGUCUUAAUUGGUGAAACCAAUUUAGAAGAAACAUUUGAAAACUUGAUAUUAAACCAGAUGAAUCUUUCAUCAUAUGGAGAAGAUCUACUAGAUCCAAACAUUGAUAUAGAAGAUUAUUUUGACUAAAAAGAGCAUUUCAAGAACCACAUAGUUUCAAAUAAGACAAAAUGUCAAGUCAAUGAUGUGAAGGACUGCACUGAUUUAAUGGUGACCACAUUGAAGUUAAAAAUACACAGCCCCUGUAUUCUUAGUAUCAGAUUGCUGAAGUAUGUUUGCAGAUUUCUUCUGGAAGUUGCCCGAAUUUUUUCCUUCCUUCUUUUUAUCAGAUCCUUCAGAAUAACAAGUUUGAGAUGAUUCAAUCUACAAAACAAUAACAAACACCCGGUAAAAAUUCAGUUAAUUUUGUUUUCUCAUGAGAUUCAUAAUCUCACUAGUCCUGUAUCAGUUAGCUCUUGAAGUGUCCAGUGGUCUGGUUUUCUAUCUUCAAAUUUCUACUCACAUAUGAGUCCCAUCUUAAAUAGAAGGCUCUAUACCAUCAGAGAAACCAUAAAGAACACCUAAAGUGUCCUUAGACACAAUUGUAUAUGGCAUGCUUUUGCAAGCUUGAUAGUACUUAGUUUAUAACUGCUUUUCAACCUCUACCACAGAGGCAGACUUCUCAACCAACAUUGAUCACAUGA